Molecule: small nucleolar RNA, 138 nt
Organism: Ornithorhynchus anatinus (platypus)
Lineage: Eukaryota; Metazoa; Chordata; Mammalia; Monotremata; Ornithorhynchidae
Source: RefSeq, a predicted model, not a curated record
CCCCUCUCAGGGUCAUACUUGGAGAGUUUCCAGCACUCUACCAGUCUUGACUAGAAGAAGGAAAGUCAGGCAGAGGCAUAUCCGUUCCAUUCCUAGCCCGGGUAGUGGCUAGCGAGUGGAAGGCAACCUGCUACAAGU